CCUACGUGUGGCUGCAGUGGGGAAUAUUGCACAAUGGGGGAAACCCUGAUGCAGCGACGCCGCGUGAGCGAUGAAGUAUUUCGGUAUGUAAAGCUCUAUCAGCAGGGAAGAAGAUGACGGUACCUGACUAAGAAGCCCCGGCUAACUACGUGCCAGCAGCCGCGGUAAUACGGAGGGGGCAAGCGUUAUCCGGAUUUACUGGGUGUAAAGGGAGCGUAGACGGCGAUGCAAGCCAGAUGUGAAAGCCCGGGGCUCACCCCCGGGACUGCAUUUGGAACUGUGUGGUUGGAGUGUCGGAGAGGCAGUCUGAAUUCCUAUUGUAGCGGUGCAAUGCGUAGAUAUUAGGAGGAACACCAGUGGCGAAGGCGGCCUGCUGGACGAUGACUGACGUUGAGGCUCGAAAGCGUGGGGAGCAACCAGGAUUAGAUCCCCCGGUAGUC
RNAcentral lists this ribosomal RNA (440 nucleotides) under uncultured bacterium. RNAcentral describes it as "partial 16S ribosomal RNA". It matches the Rfam family "Bacterial small subunit ribosomal RNA", at positions 338 to 795 of the family's 1533-position model. The record is from RNAcentral.